Molecule: ribosomal RNA, 499 nt
Filed under: uncultured bacterium
Lineage: Bacteria
Description: partial 16S ribosomal RNA
Rfam family: Bacterial small subunit ribosomal RNA
Source: RNAcentral
GAUGAACGCUGGCGGCGUGCCUAACACAUGCAAGUCGAGCGAACAGACCAGAGUGCGUGCACUCUCUGACGUUAGCGGCGGACGGGUGAGUAACACGUGGGUAACCUACCUAUAAGACUGGGGUUACUUCGGGAAACCGGAGCCAAUACCGGAAAAUAUCUAGCUUCGCAUGGAGCAAUAGUGAAAGACGGUUCUGCUGUGACUGAUAGAUGGACCCGCGGUGUAUUAGCUAGUUGGUGAGGUAACGGCUCACCAAGGCAACUAUACAUAGCCGACCUGAGAGGGUGGUCGGCCACCCUGGGACUGAGACACGGACCAGACUCCUACGGGAGGCAGCAGUAGGGAAUCUUACGCAACGGAGGAAAGUCUGACGGAGCAAUGCCGCGUGAGUGAAGACGGUUCUCGGAUCGUAAAGCUCUGUUGUAAGGGAAGAACUAGUACGUUAGUAACUGAACGUACAUUGACGGUACCUUAACAAAAAGCACCGGCUAACUACGUG